This 916-nucleotide ribosomal RNA is filed under the name uncultured bacterium. RNAcentral describes it as "bacterial SSU rRNA". It matches the Rfam family "Bacterial small subunit ribosomal RNA", at positions 246 to 1155 of the family's 1533-position model. The record is from RNAcentral.
UUGUUGGUAAGGUAAAAGCUUACCAAGGCUUCGAUCAGUAGCUGGUCUGAGAGGACGACCAGCCACACUGGGACUGAGACACGGCCCAAACUCCUACGGGAGGCAGCAGUGAGGAAUUUUGGACAAUGGGGGCAACCCUGAUCCAGCCAUGCCGCGUGAGUGAAGAAGGCCUUCGGGUUGUAAAGCUCUUUCAGCCGGAACGAAACGGUUACGGAUAACACCCGUGACUACUGACGGUACCGGAAGAAGAAGCACCGGCUAACUACGUGCCAGCAGCCGCGGUAAUACGUAGGGUGCGAGCGUUAAUCGGAAUUACUGGGCGUAAAGCGUGCGCAGGUGGUUUUGUAAGUCAYAUGUGAAAGCCCCGGGCUCAACCUGGGAACUGCGUUUGAAACUACAAGACUAGAGUGUGGCAGAGGGGGGUGGAAUUCCGCGUGUAGCAGUGAAAUGCGUAGAGAUGUGGAGGAACACCGAUGGCGAAGGCAGCCCCCUGGGUCAACACUGACGCUCAGGCACGAAAGCAUGGGGAGCAAACAGGAUUAGAUACCCUGGUAGUCCAUGCCCUAAACGAUGUCAACUAGUUGUCGGGCCUUUACGGGCUUGGUAACGUAGCUAACGCGUGAAGUUGACCGCCUGGGGAGUACGAUCGCAAGAUUAAAACUCAAAUGAAUUGACGGGGACCCGCACAAGCGGCGGAUUAUGUGGAUUAAUUCGAUGCAACGCGAAAAACCUUACCUACCCUUGACAUGUAUCGAAGCCCGCAGAAAAGCGGGGGUGCCCGAAAGGGAACGAUAACACAGGUGCUGCAUGGCUGUCGUCAGCUCGUGUCGUGAGAUGUUGGGUUAAGUCCCGCAACGAGCGCAACCCUUGUCAUUAAUUGCCAUCAUUUAGUUGGGCACCUUAAUGAGACUGCCGG